This is a small nuclear RNA of Bison bison bison, 104 nucleotides long. The record is from Ensembl. NCBI's taxonomy places the organism in Eukaryota, Metazoa, Chordata, Mammalia, Artiodactyla, Bovidae.
GUGCUCGCUUUGGCAGCACAUACACUAAAAUUGGAACGAUACAGAGAUUAGCAUGGCCCCUGCACAAGGAUGACAUGCCAAUUCACAAAACGGUCCAUAUUUUU